CCGGCUCCUCCCCUUCUUCUUAAUGUGGAACACAAUGAACUAAUUCCAUAAGAAGCAAUUCAGAGAAAAGUGAAAAUGUAAUUUACCGGGGUUCAGCUAGGACGCCCAUCUUGUUCUAAAUCCAACAAGUUGAUCACAUGUGAGGGGCCCCAGCGUACCCUAAAAUAUAUCCAUUAAUUCCCAGAGAUUAAAAUCCAUGUGCUUAAAAACAACCACAACAAAAAUACCAGCUGCCUUUUGAAAGCAAGGGCGUUGGGAAAUGAAUGGAAUCUCAUGCUCCUGCUCUGUGUUCAAGAGCUUCGAUGGCUACUGUGUUACAUCAGGAAUGGCCAGUGCCUGGACCCCACCCUCCCCCACUCCCUUUUAAUUCAAUGGCUACGUGGGGGCUUCUUUGAUGGAGGCUUUGAAGUCGGUGGCUUUGAGAUUACUCUUCCUCUGUGACCUUGACCACCAGCCAUGAGGGCCUGUGUGGCUGUGCCACCAGCAAUCUUUCAACACUGAAAAGGACAAAGAAAAUCCAUUACUCUGUUACAAGAAGAAAGAAUUUCUAUGGCAAAAAGGAUGAUGAGAAGAAUGGCUAAUGGGUUUACAGGAACUCUUAACACAAAGCUGGGUGUUCAGAUACCAAGAGUUUGUAAAAAAAAAAAGAAAAAAAUACGCAAUCCAAGGCAAGCAGUCAAGGACCACAAGACAAUGUGUGUAUGAAUUUCUUCAGCCCUUGGAAUUCCCCACAAUGGUGACUGACACCCACAUUUAUCUAGGCACUCCCAACACCUGGGGAUUAAAGAAUGCCUUCCAGGCUACCAGUUUGAGUAAAGACUAUUGUGACUAUAGAAUCUCGAAGAAAAAAAUUACCAUGAGGAGGCACACUGGAGAUACAUCCUGUUUCCUGAAGAACCUAUGUCUACAACCCCUGUGGUUGAGUUAGUUGUAAUAGCCAAAUCAGGAGGAACGUCUCUGGGUGGGAGGGCCCUCAGAACACCCACUUUCCAGUUUCGCUUUAUUGUAUGGCCAAGAAAUGGAAACCACCAAAUGUUUCUUUGCCUUUAUUUUGUAUGGUGGUUCCCCCUAGACUUCCGGACCUCUCCAUGACCUUUGCUGCAUGCAUGAGGAGAAACGGCCUGCUAGAACAGAUCUGCAAAGGAUUGCUCUGCCUGAGGCUGCCUGAGCUUACAACUGCAGUCUGAAGGGAUAAGGAACUUGAAAGGUGGGUAUCCCACUUGGACUCUCCAACCUCCCGUCGGACAUUUCAGCUGAAUGGUAACCAUAAUGGGUAUAAGAAAGAACAAAGCCAUUUCCCAAAUCUGCCUCCCCCGCCUCUCUCUCGCCCAGUACGCCAUGCUUCCUGUUUCCCUAGUAAUGAAAAUGUGUUCAUCUGUCAAGGGGAAAGCUGCCCCACUGUCUUAGGUGCAGAGAACUCCAAUCACAGCAGCUGCUGGGACCAGACCGAGAGCCAAGCUCCUCAUUUGUUUUGGCUAACACUGAAGAAUCCGUUUAGGCAUCCCCUAGAACAAAAUGGUGCAUGGGAACAGAGCCAAGCCAUGGAAGAGAAGCGGCAAAGUUGCAACAGAUUAUUUGUCUGCUAAAACAGAAGGAGAAAGAGAGCUAAACCUGGAUCCGUUUGAGUCCAGCCUCUCUAACAUAUUCUCCACUUGCAACACAGAUGAUUUCCUCUAAUAUCGCUCAACAGGUGCUAAACUGUAGCUUUGCUGAAGAUUAAUCAUGCAGCCUUGGAAACCACACUAAAAAAUACCAAGACGGCUCCCAGGAUUUAUAGGCUCUUUCUCCAGAGUACUCAGCACAGAGUAUAUAUAAACAGCAUGCAUAGUAUUACACAUAUGUAUAUUAAAUGUAUAGUGAGUCCUUGCCAAUGCAAUCCUGCGGAAAAUCUCAUUGCCUUCUGUAUCCACUAGGCACUCUGUGCAUGUAUGAAGUACAUUGCAUACCAAUAGGAAAUUAUGCUUGCAUGUGCAUCUCCUCUUAGGUUAUGUGUUUUUUAUGCCGUGUCUUUCACUGAACUCUCAUUUUAUGAAGUAGACACUCCAGACAUAUGUAUGUUAGAGCCUGUGCUUGCUGCCUCCAACUUCUCCAAUACGUAUCAAGUCAAUCUCACAAUGUCUCUAGGGAGGACACAGUGAACAUGGUCAUUCUGUUGAAAAAUUUCCAGCACUGUUUAUAUUAAAAGCUUCACCGAGUCCCCUGUUUUGCUAUAUUACAAAUAAAACCCAAGACUGUGUAGUUUUACAUGAUUCAGACUGUUCACGAAGUGAAGUCCACGCUACAGGUCAUUUAGUAGACAAGCGAUGAAGGAUGUAGAGCCUGGGAGUAAGGCGAGGCUUUGCUUUUCCCCUAAAUUGGCCAGAAUAUGGAUAACCUUGAACUCUGGUUGGAUGCUGAUAAUCUGAUUAGAGAGGGAAUUAUGAAGGCAAACUCUAAGCAAGAUGGACAGACAGAGAAAUAUCUUAGGAUCCUUAAGUGACUCAAGAACUUUGAGGGACUAUCCCAAAUCUGACUAGGUUUUAUAAGAGUGUCUUCAUGGGGACAGUACAGCGUGUGUGGGCCUUUAUCUUAAAAAAUACCCAAAUAAGUACUUUUCUGGGACAAAAUAAGCCAGAACCCAGUCAUAAUGGGCGGAGGGAGUGAUAGAGUCAUAGUGGGCGGAGGGAGUGGUAGAGGUGUUCUAUCUGAAUUUCUAAGUCUUAGGACAAGGCUGUGAUCUAGAAGGAAUAAAAGAACAUGCCCACUGGGUAGAGACUCUAUUCUGAACAAGCUCCAGACUGGGGAGCAUGGAGGGUAGAGUCAAGCUUGUAAGCCCCUCGUGAUUAGAUCUUCCUCCUUGAAUACUCUCCUUCCAGAGCCACAGUGCUAGCCUAGCUGAAGCUCCCACAGCGACAGCCCUCUGCUGUGAGGAAGAGUAGUUUUGUACUUUCUUGUGACUGGAAACAACCAGUUAAUUCUGUCCAGACCCACCAAGAAGAGGGAAGAAAAAAAAAUCCUUUCAUCUUGACCCUUCCUAUGUAUCUCCUGCUUACUUCCCUAGGCUGAGUCAUACUUCCAUAUUAUUUCAACAGGAAAAUGGGCAAUUUCUUUUACUUGAUACGUUGUGUUCUAUCCACAAAUUGAUCUGAUCCCAUUUGGUUGGAAUUAUUAAGUACAGUAAAAAUAAUGGGAUACUAUUGUGUUAUUUCUGGUUUCGUUUCUUCCCACACCAUGACAUCUUGGCACUGAUGAAAACUGUUCAACGUUCGGAUCAUUGAACUCCAUCUCGAUAAAUAUUGGAUUUAGUAGCAGGAUGCUAGAGCAAAGCUUUGCUAUUUCAAGAUGGCCACUUGGCGCUCCAUUGUCAGAGCCUGUCUGGGGUGACAUCUCAAAGAUCAGCAUUACUGGAGCAAACACAGAAGAAUGGUAGACUUAUUCAGCAUAAAAGUGACAUUUAUGUCAAACAAGCAUGGAUUGAAAUAAACGAUUCAUUUACAAGAAGCCCACUGCAUUUAGCAGGAAAUUCUGCAUAAUGCAUGCAAACCUGUGCUAACACCCCAGGAGCCAAGCUCUGAAUUAUUACCAAAGAGUUCAACUCAACCCAACUCAACCCAACUCAACCCAACCAAAGGCAUUACAAAUGUGCAUGUGUAAAAACCCAAAGUCUCUAAGACAAAAGGCCUACAUGGCAGGUGUCAAUAUUGCACCAAGGCAGCCGUGGGAACCCACAGUCGGAGUACUGCAGACUUAAAACUGAUUUGUUCCAGUGAGGCUCUCAAAUAUCAAAUGCAUGCGUUUGCAAAAACUUCGCCUGUUUAUUUAAUUCUUUUAAGUAUGUCCUUAUAGCUCACUGUACUUCCUUGAGGUUGAAAUUUAGUCCUCUGUAAUGGAAGGACAAAACUUGGAAGAACUUGAUGGGUUUUGAACUUCUGACAAAGCAUAUUUAAAGGGGCCCUUAAACAGUUGAUAAUUCUUACCUGACACUGGAGCCUGGACAACUAGGAUGUGAAUUCAUUUGGGCUUUAAAACAAGAACUUACUUGUGUCAAUCUCAGGUCCUUCUUGGUUGCUCAGCAACAUUGUGUGAAUCUGGUAUUACAGUGAUGGACUACUUUCGAUAAAACUUUAGGAACCAUCUGUUAGCCUUGAAUACCAUGUUAAGAGAGGAGUUUUUCUAAGAUCUUUUGAUACAAAAUCCUCUAACAUUGCCAGACUUUUAAAGGGAAGGCUGACCACUGUCCCCCCUCCCAUAUGAGUGUGUCAAGGAUCUUGGGGUACAGGGUAUUACAGUGAUCACUGGAUCUGUCACAGACAACUUUUGUUGAAACUUGCCACUGUCCAUAUUUGAAUCUCCAGGUGAUAACUGUGAGGCUGUUCACAGUUCUGAUGAGCUUUGCUGCCUUCAACUCAUGCGUACUCUGGGUUUCCAGAGAACUUCUGUCAGUUACCUUUGUCUAGAUUUUACAUUAGAAAUCUAAAUGAAUUAUUUACCUUAAAAUACCCCCAAUAAACUUAGAGAAGUUAUGGAAAACACACACACACACACACACACACACACACACACACACACACACACACACACGUGAAGAUGUGCUUGCUAGUUGAGUCUGAGUCUCACCAUCGUCCAGGCUGGCUUUCAAUUUGCUAUGUAGCUGAGAAUGGCCUUGAACUUCUAAACCCCCUAUGUCUAUCUCCCAAGUGCUAGAAUUACUAGCAUGCAUCACCACAUACACCUUACAGGGCACAUUAUUGUGAAAAUAAUUAUUUUGCAAAACACUAGCGAGAAGUUGAUUAGUCCAUCUUUUUACAUUUUUUCCAGAAGCUAGAGUGAGGCUGUGCUCUCUCUGUAGUGAUGUCACAGUAAUAAAUAUGUCAUAGUGAAAAGGUGACACACAGCUUCAAGGUGUUGGUGAGAAUAGCUCUGUCCCUCAUGAACGAUCGAGGAAAGAGGAUACCCAGGGACUCCACACGACAAUUGAAAAGUUUUUAGACAUAAAACAGAGGCCCAAACAAGCAAUUAUAUCAUUAUGAUAAAUUUUUUUCUGUGAUGGAUGAGCUAGGUAACCUGGUUUGAUUGUUACACAGUGUGUAAGUAUCUCAAAACUUCACAGUGCAUUCCAUAAACACAUGGAAGUAGCAGGUAAUAACUGAAAACUAAGGGGUCUGGUAAGAUGUCUCAGCUUCUUCUACAUCUAUUUUGUAGGCAUGUGCACUUGCGAGCAUGCACACAGACACAGAAAGACAGACAGACAGACACAUGCAAAAAUAUAAUAAAAAUAAUUUUAGUGUUACUUGAAUGAUUAUUCCUCUCUUGUUCCUGUUUUAUAGACAAUAAUAGAUACAUAAUGGAUAUGUCAUAGAUAUAUGAUAGGUAGAUAGAUAGAUAGAUAGAUAGAUAGAUAGAUAGAUAGAUAGAUAGAUGAUAGAUAGAAGACAGAUGGUAAAGAAAACAGUACCGACACAUGAUUAAAGGAAGACAGAAUAUAGAUAGGAAGACAGAAAAGUAGAUGGUAGAUAGAUGGCAUGUAGAAAAUAGAUAGUUGAUAGAUAGAUAGAUAGAUAGAUAGAUAGAUAGGUAGAUAGAUAGAUAGAUAGAUAGAUAGAUAGAUAGAUAGAUAGAUAGAUAGAUAGAGUAUAAGGCAUUGCCUUUAUUUCCUAAGUAAGACCACUGAGGCAGAAGAUGACUUUCCCAGAGUUCUACAGAUUACAAAUGAUAGAGGCAGCUUUGGACCCUACAAGCAGCCUUAUCAGUGGCUAUAGACCAUCUUAGACCAGUGGUGUAAGCAGAGGUGAUAACGGUGACUGUAACAGCAGGAGUCCUGCUUAACACUUAGGAAACAAGAGCCUAGAAAAUUGUGGAUGUGCUACAUACAGGAUCUGCUCUUGUCCUCACAACAGGACAUAUCACAUUAUCAUGACCAACAUCACCACCAUCCCCACUGUCAGGAGUGGCAGCACUGGAUUGACAAGGAGCCUGUCUUACCUAGAAUUGUAAUGAAUAUGUAAGCCCUUACAUUUUAAAGUUGUACUAUUACUGUAAUGAAAACAUGACAUAUGAGCACAGAGGACUGUGUGGUCUGACACUUCAUUUGACUUGCAUCAUGACCAAAGAAGACACAUGGCUUUUGCAGAAAAGACCUCUCUGGAGUGGCCUAUUUUUACUACUUUCUGAGUGAGGUGUUCAAAGUAUACCAGUCCUGAAUGGCAGAACAUUGGGAACCUUGAGACAGACUCUGUGACUCACUGUAGGGAUGCCUUCAGGACUGCGGAUGUGAGCAGGCCGAGUUCCUUAUUAAGUGAUUCAUCCGUCUCUCUGUAGUCGGGUAGAUUUCUUUUCACGGUUUGUGAAAUUUUCUUUCAUAAGUUUUCUGUCUACUCUGUAUAAAACCAGCAAUAUCUUUGUUUUCCCCAGGAAAAAUCUUU
Long non-coding RNA from Mus musculus (house mouse), 6401 nucleotides. RefSeq annotates it as predicted gene, 35835. The record is from RefSeq and is a predicted model, not a curated record. Lineage: Eukaryota; Metazoa; Chordata; Mammalia; Rodentia; Muridae. The transcript has 4 exons.